Molecule: transfer RNA, 63 nt
Filed under: Geodermatophilaceae bacterium
Lineage: Bacteria; Bacillati; Actinomycetota; Actinomycetes; Geodermatophilales; Geodermatophilaceae
Description: tRNA-Glu
Source: RNAcentral
GUCCCACCGCAAGCGGGACCGUUCUCUCAAGGCGUUAGCGGGGGUUCGAAUCCCCUCGGGGCU